This 497-nucleotide ribosomal RNA is filed under the name uncultured bacterium. RNAcentral's name for it is "partial 16S ribosomal RNA". It matches the Rfam family "Bacterial small subunit ribosomal RNA", at positions 28 to 507 of the family's 1533-position model. The record is from RNAcentral.
GACGAACGCUGGCGGCGUGCCUAAUACAUGCAAGUAGAACGCUGAAGAGAGGAGCUUGCUCUUCUUGGAUGAGUUGCGAACGGGCGAGUAACGCGUAGGUAACCUGCCUUGUAGCGGGGGAUAACUAUUGGAAACGAUAGCUAAUACCGCAUAACAAUGGAUGACACAUGUCAUUUAUUUGAAAGGGGCAAUUGCUCCACUACAAGAUGGACCUGCGUUGUAUUAGCUAGUAGGUGAGGUAAUGGCUCACCUAGGCGACGAUACAUAGCCGACCUGAGAGGGUGAUCGGCCACACUGGGACUGAGACACGGCCCAGACUCCUACGGGAGGCAGCAGUAGGGAAUCUUCGGCAAUGGGGGCAACCCUGACCGAGCAACGCCGCGUGAGUGAAGAAGGUUUUCGGAUCGUAAAGCUCUGUUGUAAGUCAAGAACGGGUGUGAGAGUGGAAAGUUCACACUGUGACGGUAGCUUACCAGAAAGGGACGGCUAACUACGUG